AUCCCAAAUAAGCUGAGUGUUAGUGCUUAUUUGAUUCAUGGGAGGCCAAGAGUAAAUCUGGAAGUUUCGCUGAUAAUGCCUUUUUUCUAUUCUCGCUUGAAGGCAUUCAUUAGUAACUUUACCAUACAAUA
Molecule: small nucleolar RNA, 131 nt
Organism: Pistacia vera
Lineage: Eukaryota; Viridiplantae; Streptophyta; Magnoliopsida; Sapindales; Anacardiaceae
Source: RefSeq, a predicted model, not a curated record